CGGACAGUGUCUGGUGGGUAGUUUGACUGGGGCGGUCUCCUCCUAAAGAGUAACGGAGGAGCACGAAGGUUGGCUAAUCCUGGUCGGACAUCAGGAGGUUAGUGCAAUGGCAUAAGCCAGCUUGACUGCGAGCGUGACGGCGCGAGCAGGUGCGAAAGCAGGUCAUAGUGAUCCGGUGGUUCUGAAUGGAAGGGCCAUCGCUCAACGGAUAAAAGGUACUCCGGGGAUAACAGGCUGAUACCGCCCAAGAGUUCAUAUCGACGGCGGUGUUUGGCACCUCGAUGUCGGCUCAUCACAUCCUGGGGCUGAAGUAGGUCCCAAGGGUAUGGCUGUUCGCCAUUUAAAGUGGUACGCGAGCUGGGUUUAGAACGUCGUGAGACAGUUCGGUCCCUAUCUGCCGUGGGCGCUGGAGAACUGAGGGGGGCUGCUCCUAGUACGAGAGGACCGGAGUGGACGCAUCACUGGUGUUCGGGUUGUCAUGCCAAUGGCACUGCCCGGUAGCUAAAUGCGGAAGAGA
RNAcentral lists this ribosomal RNA (517 nucleotides) under Salmonella enterica. RNAcentral describes it as "partial 23S ribosomal RNA". It matches the Rfam family "Bacterial large subunit ribosomal RNA", at positions 2248 to 2764 of the family's 2925-position model. RNAcentral also lists the same sequence under 2 other names. The record is from RNAcentral. Lineage: Bacteria; Pseudomonadati; Pseudomonadota; Gammaproteobacteria; Enterobacterales; Enterobacteriaceae.